Molecule: ribosomal RNA, 368 nt
Filed under: uncultured organism
Description: bacterial LSU rRNA
Rfam family: Bacterial large subunit ribosomal RNA
Source: RNAcentral
CUUGACUGUAGCCUGGAAUUGGGUUCGAGCUUUUCUUGCGCAGGCUAGGUGGGAGGCUAUGAAGAUUUCCUUCCGGGGAAGUUGGAGCCAACAGUGAGAGACCACUCUGGAAAGGCUAGAAUCCUCAUGGUGAUCCUUGAAUCAGGACACUUGACAGUUUCAGGCGGGCAGUUUUUCUGGGGCGGAAACCUCAUAAAAGGUAACUGAGGCGCGCAAAGGUCCCCUCAGUCUGGACGGAAAUCAGACAUUGAGUGUAAAGGCAAAAGGGGGCUUGACUGCAAGACCCACAAGUCGAGCAGGAGCGAAAGCUGGCCUUAGUGAUCCGACGGUUCCGUGUGGAAGGGCCGUCGCUCAACGAAUAAAAGUUA